Molecule: microRNA, 20 nt
Filed under: Monodelphis domestica (gray short-tailed opossum)
Lineage: Eukaryota; Metazoa; Chordata; Mammalia; Didelphimorphia; Didelphidae
Description: mdo-miR-7312b-3p
Source: miRBase by way of RNAcentral
CCUCUGCAAUAUAUCUUUCA